Molecule: ribosomal RNA, 1237 nt
Filed under: Cultellus attenuatus
Lineage: Eukaryota; Metazoa; Mollusca; Bivalvia; Adapedonta; Cultellidae
Description: 16S ribosomal RNA
Rfam family: Bacterial large subunit ribosomal RNA
Source: RNAcentral
AUUAAAUGAAUAAAAAUAAUUUUUUAUGUCAGAAUUAUCUUUAUGUUAGUACUUUAAUGGAAAGUUUUUUAAAUUUAUAAUUAUUACCUAAAGGGGUGUAAUAUCAUUCGGAAAAAGAAAUAUUUAAUAUAUGUACUUUUUGUAUCAUGGUCUAUAGAGGUGGAAAAUAAAUAUUUAUUCCUGAAAAUCUUAGAGCUAUUUAUUUUAAAAUUUUUAUGUUGCAAAAUAAGGGAUAAAAGAUAAAUAGAGGUGAAAUGUUAGUCGAAAAGGUUGAUAGCUGGUUGAAAGAGAAAUAUGUAUUCGCAUAGCGCAUUGUUAGUUUGUCUGAAAUGUUUUUUUAGAUGAAAAAUUUUGUAGUUAGUUCUUUGGGGCUAAGCUCAGAGAAAGUGGAGUAAAGAUUGGAAAAAGUAGGCUUGAAAUUAGCUAUCUUUAAAAGUUUUUUAUAAAAUAUCCUUUCUUGUUUUAAAUGAUACAAUAUCUUUCUGUGUUAAAAAACUGUUUUUACUAAAUUAGUAUAGAAUUAGUAGCGAUAAUUAUAUUGAUAUUUUUAAAAAAUUUUAUAUUUAUAUUAUUGUUUUUUUAUUUAAAAUUAUUACUAAGGAACUCGGCAAAUAUACUUCCCGCCUGUUUAUCAAAAACAUCGCCUCUUGAUAUUAUAUUACGAGAGGUUGGGCCUGCCCGGUGAAUAACUAUUUAAACGGCCGCAGUGAAUAACUGUGCUAAGGUAGCGUAAUAAAUUGUCUCUUAAUUGGAGAAGGGUAUGAAUGGUUUGACGUGGUGGUAUCUGUCUCAGUAAUAAUAAGGUGAAGUUUUCUUUUUAGUUAAAAGACUUGAAUGGCGUUAAAAGACGAGAAGACCCUGUCGAGCUUGAUAAAAAUAUAGAGUGUUUUUGUAUAAUAAGUUUAGCUGGGGCAGCUGAAAACCAUAAAAUAGUUUUCUUUUUUUUGAAGAUCCGGUUUAUACCGAUCAUAAGAAAAAGCUACCGCAGGGAUAACAGCGUUAUCUUUCCUGAGAGAACUAAUUGAAGGGAAGGUUUGCGACCUCGAUGUUGGAUUAAAAUUUCUUUUUGGUGUAGCAGCUAAAAUAGUAGGACUGUUCGUCCUUUAAAAUUUUACGUGAUCUGAGUUCAGACCGGCGUGAGCUAGGUCGGUUUCUAUCUUUAGUGAGAUUGCCAUUGUACGAAAGGAUCCGGCUUUCUAACUUUAUUUGUUAUUUUUUAUAAUAUGAUUUUGGCAAA